This 156-nucleotide ribosomal RNA is filed under the name Prevotellaceae bacterium KH2P17. RNAcentral describes it as "16S rRNA. Bacterial SSU". It matches the Rfam family "Bacterial small subunit ribosomal RNA", at positions 1 to 145 of the family's 1533-position model. Lineage: Bacteria; Pseudomonadati; Bacteroidota; Bacteroidia; Bacteroidales; Prevotellaceae. The record is from RNAcentral.
UUACAAUGGAGAGUUUGAUCCUGGCUCAGGAUGAACGCUGGCUACAGGCUUAACACAUGCAAGUCGAGGGGCAUCAUGCGGGUUGCUUGCAACCUGUGAUGGCGACCGGCGGAUGGGUGAGUAACGCGUAUCCAACCUUCCCUUAACCGGGGCAUA